This 845-nucleotide ribosomal RNA is filed under the name uncultured Bacteroidota bacterium. Its description in RNAcentral is "bacterial SSU rRNA". It matches the Rfam family "Bacterial small subunit ribosomal RNA", at positions 44 to 894 of the family's 1533-position model. The record is from RNAcentral. Lineage: Bacteria; Pseudomonadati; Bacteroidota.
AGGCCCAACACAUGCAAGUCGAGGGGUAUAUGUCUUCGGAUAUAGAGACCGGCGCACGGGUGCGUAACGCGUAUGCAAUCUACCUUUUACAGGGGAAUAGCCCAGAGAAAUUUGGAUUAAUGCCCCAUAGUAUAUAAGAAUCGCAUGGUUUUUAUAUUAAAGUUCCAACGGUAAAAAAUGAGCAUGCGUCCCAUUAGUUAGUUGGUAAGGUAACGGCUUACCAAGACAAUGAUGGGUAGGGGUCCUGAGAGGGAGAUCCCCCACACUGGUACUGAGACACGGACCAGACUCCUACGGGAGGCAGCAGUGAGGAAUAUUGGACAAUGGGCGCAAGCCUGAUCCAGCCAUGCCGCGUGCAGGAAGACGGUCCUAUGGAUUGUAAACUGCUUUUGUACAGGAAGAAACACUCCCUCGUGAGGGAGCUUGACGGUACUGUAAGAAUAAGGAUCGGCUAACUCCGUGCCAGCAGCCGCGGUAAUACGGAGGAUCCAAGCGUUAUCCGGAAUCAUUGGGUUUAAAGGGUCCGUAGGCGGUUUAAUAAGUCAGUGGUGAAAGCCCAUCGCUCAACGAUGGAACGGCCAUUGAUACUGUUAGACUUGAAUUAUUAGGAAGUAACUAGAAUAUGUAGUGUAGCGGUGAAAUGCUUAGAUAUUACAUGGAAUACCAAUUGCGAAGGCAGGUUACUACUAAUGGAUUGACGCUGAUGGACGAAAGCGUGGGGAGCGAACAGGAUUAGAUACCCUGGUAGUCCACGCCGUAAACGAUGGAUACUAGCUGUUGGGCGCAAGUUCAGUGGCUAAGCGAAAGUGAUAAGUAUCCCCACCUGGGGAGUACGUUCGCAAGAA